This 64-nucleotide small nuclear RNA is filed under the name Procavia capensis (Cape rock hyrax). Its description in RNAcentral is "U7 small nuclear RNA (ENSPCAG00000020627.1)". Lineage: Eukaryota; Metazoa; Chordata; Mammalia; Hyracoidea; Procaviidae. The record is from RNAcentral.
CAGUGUUAAUAGCUCUUUCAGAAUUUGUCUGCAAGGAAGAUCACCUUUCCAUUCCACCUCCCCA